RNAcentral lists this ribosomal RNA (253 nucleotides) under uncultured bacterium. RNAcentral describes it as "partial 16S ribosomal RNA". It matches the Rfam family "Bacterial small subunit ribosomal RNA", at positions 524 to 776 of the family's 1533-position model. The record is from RNAcentral.
UACGGAGGGUGCAAGCGUUAUCCGGAUUCACUGGGUUUAAAGGGUGCGUAGGCGGGUAAGUAAGUCCGUGGUGAAAUCUCUGAGCUUAACUCAGAAACUGCCGUGGAUACUAUUUGCCUUGAAUAUUGUGGAGGUGAGCGGAAUAUGUCAUGUAGCGGUGAAAUGCUUAGAUAUGACAUAGAACACCAAUUGCGAAGGCAGCUCACUACACAAUCAUUGACGCUGAGGCACGAAAGCGUGGGGAUCAAACGGG